This 316-nucleotide unclassified non-coding RNA is filed under the name plant metagenome. Its description in RNAcentral is "partial contains 5.8S ribosomal RNA, internal transcribed spacer 2, and large subunit ribosomal RNA". The stretch from base 1 to 105 matches the Rfam family "5.8S ribosomal RNA", at positions 50 to 154 of the family's 154-position model. The record is from RNAcentral.
GAAAUGCGAUAACUAGUGUGAAUUGCAGAAUUCCGUGAAUCAUCGAGUCUUUGAACGCACAUUGCGCCCCCUGGUAUUCCGGGGGGCAUGCCUGUCCGAGCGUCAUUGCUGCCCAUCAAGCACGGCUUGUGUGUUGGGUCGUCGUCCCCUCUCCGGGGGGGACGGGCCCCAAAGGCAGCGGCGGCACCGCGUCCGAUCCUCGAGCGUAUGGGGCUUUGUCACCCGCUCUGUAGGCCCGGCCGGCGCUUGCCGAACACAAAUCAAUCUUUUUCCAGGUUGACCUCGGAUCAGGUAGGGAUACCCGCUGAACUUAAGC